This is a non-coding RNA of Podarcis lilfordi (Lilford's wall lizard), 72 nucleotides long. NCBI's taxonomy places the organism in Eukaryota, Metazoa, Chordata, Lepidosauria, Squamata, Lacertidae. The record is from the annotation of a GenBank genome assembly.
GGGCUGUAGCUCAGUGGUAGAGCACAUGUUUUGCAUGCCAAAGGUCAUGGGUUCAAUCCACAGUGUUCUCCA